ACUUUCUUCCGGUGAUUUCUUCCACCCCAGGCAAGCCACAAUACCCACUUGCAUGAUAGUCAUGCAGUAGCCAUGGUUUUCAACCUGAAUCUUUAUUAAAUGUUUGCUUGUUGAAAAGAUGGUUAUCGUUGUUCCGGUAAUGUUUAGAUUUGCAUGUUCACUUUUGUGCUAUGUUGUCUUGUACUCUGUUAUCAUGUUCUACCUGCUAGUAUUUCCUUUCAUAUGUUUAUGCUUGCUAGUAGUACAUGUUGAUGUUGGUGAUGGUCAUGCUAGUCAGUAUGCCAUGUUCAGUGGAUAUGAUUUAUUGUUGAUAUGGUGGAUAGUUAUGUGAUACCCUCAUGAUUAUGUUGAUAUCAUGUUCAUACAUUUUAUCAUGGCUCAGCAUAUUUGCAUUCAAGUUAAUCGGAUUAAAUUGAACUUGAACAACUGUUGGUUGAGUCAUGGUGCCGCUGAAACGAUGCUGACCAAUGCAACCACGCUUACCGGUACGGGACGGUCCUAACUAGGUCUAUUGUCGUGCCUCUCACCGGUGCCUCCAACGAGGGAAGGUUAUGGGCGCGCGCUACCCUGAUCAGGUAGGCGGACAUAAGCCUUGUGUGCCCGUUUUUGUUGUUAUGUGCACAUGUCCCUAUUUGGGACGGUUUAUUGUUUUGGGCCAUGACGAUGGUCGUUGAGGUGUCUUGAGGUAGACAAGGGGCCACCCAUGACUUAGCCCAGAGGGGAGUGAGUCGGAGUGGCCGGGAGAGUGUCAUGGCAGUAGAACGGUUUUGUCGGAACACCGUUGGUCCACCCUAAUGGGAGUGCGAGCCAUGGGUUCCGUAGUGUGGGUACAGUGUACUAACCUCUGCAGAGUGUAUAUAACAUCUAUCGAUAGCCGUGCCCGUGGAUAAGGGUCCAAGUCGAAAGUAGGGUACACCAUGAGUCAACAGUAAUAAGAAUAACUUGAUUAAUGACAACCCGUGGUUGUGAUCGCCGUACGGAUCAUGGGCCAAGUAUUGGUCGUGGUUGUGAUCGCCGUAAGGAUCAUGGUUUGAGACCAAGUAUUGGUCGUGGUUGUGAUCGGCGUAAGGAUCACGGUUUGAGACCAAGUGUUUGUCAUGGUUGUGAUCGCCGUAAGGAUCACCGUGGUAUCAAGGAUACCGAGUUUUUGGAUAUUCGUGAUGUUGUGCGACAAUCGAGGGUAAAGAUCAAGCUCCUUGUGGUCCUUUACUGAUUACUACGAUAUUGUUUAUACCAAGCUUGAUUUGAUCCUGAGAUGAUCGUGUGAUGUUCGAGGUUGGUAAGUGAUGCAUGUGUUGGUUACGAGGUAACCCGAGCAGAAUAAGUGGUGCAUAUAGUGUCAUCAUGUUGCAUGCUAGUAUUGUCGGAUUAAUAUGUUCAUGUUGUGUUAGCUGUAUCAUGCUUAUGUUGGUCAUGCCAUGUUAUUCUGAUGAUCUCAUGAUAAUUCCUGUUUAACCUGUAAUUGCCAUGUUGUUGUCUAUCUUGAAUGCUACUGGUUCUUGUGAGCUUGCAAGUAUAUUCAAUGUACUGACCUGGCUUGUCAUGCCAGUUUGCAGGUCAUGCCGGAUUUGAUUGCUUGCUUGUCGUGGUUUCCGAUCGUGCGAGCUAGGAUAAGCAUUCCUGCCAGAGUCCCUGCGGAGUGGAGUUCACCACCGUCGUCGUUGUUCCACUGCUAGAGUUAUUUUGCUGCUUCGAGUUGUUCUGCUGCUUGCAUAGAGCAACUGAGGAUGGCGUAGUGUCGCCGUACCGAUGUUAUUCAUUGUAAUAUCGGAGACCUUGUAUUCAUAUUCGUGUAACAAUAGAAAGCUGGUUUGUUCUAUGCUAAGUAGUGCCGUAUUCCAGAAGACUUCUCCUCGAUCUCUGGGCUGGAAUAUGGGGCGUUCUAGUUUGCUCUGAGUCGGGGAGCCACAGGCUUGGUAUCAGAGCAGGUCUGGCUAUAGGACUCCCUAGUCAGAGCGAGCCGUAGAAACCAGUAGAAAUCAAUAGUAUAGAGUCUUGCUUGUUGAUUUCAUUUGGUUGCUGCAUUUGUUUGUUGCAUAGCAUGCAUAUAGCAUUAUUAUUUGUUACUAACGGUUUAUCUGGUGAGUGUAGCUGUCAUCGGUUCGGAUCCACUACAGCUCAACCUUUGCAUUUCUCUAGUUCCUUUUUCCUUUGGUGUUUUGUGUCAUUUCUGUCCCAGCAGAGUGAUGCCAAGUGAUCUCGACACUGUUUGCAAAAAUGGUGCUUAGGCAUCACGUCGAUGUCUUUCUUUCAGUCCCCUCUGUCGUUUCGGUGAUGGACAUGCUUCUAUCCUGGAUCGUUCUUUUAUUUUGUCGUGUUGGCAACCCUUAAUGAUCUUAGUUAUCAAGAAAGGUGUGGGGACCGAUUCUCCGGGCAUUAAUUUCCCGAAAAUGGCCUUUGUGCUCACCAGCCCCAAGAUACCUGUUAGCUGAUGAGGCACCAACUUGAUACAGAAUUUCCAAGCAAGAUACAAAAUAUGUAGUACAAGACCAUUCUGGCCUAUGAGUACAACAAAUGGUUUCUAAUGGUUGAUGGCGGAAGCGGUUUGUGGAUCAUCAGUGUCUAUAGGACUCCAAUUCCCACAGGAACAGCUGACCAGGUUAACUCCUAUCUUCGUGAGGCUGCUAUCACCUUUGCUUAGGUUCCGGGACUGUCGCCACGGUCGCUCCUCUCCGCGCAAGAAAAUCUGGCCAAGACAAUAGCCAGGGACAAGCCAGUGAGUACUUUGAAUGUACUCGCAAACAUUUGUGAACACAGGUAUAAUAUAACAAUGAUGUGCUGAAAAUAUUUUAAGCUCAUGACGUCAGUCACAAAAGAUAAAUAAAACUCUGAUGCGUGCAAGCAUGUUAUUUAUGAAUAUGCAAUAACAUAGUAGUAUUAAAAUGAUGAAAAUAAAUAACAAGUAUGCCACAGUCGGGCAUCUUAGCGACACCACAUAAAGGGCUUUAAAAGAAAUGCCACAGUCGGGCGUCUUAGCGACACCACAUAAAGGGCUUUAAAAGAAAUGCCACAGUCGGGCGUCUUAGCGACACCACAUAAAGGGCUUUAAAAGAAAUGCCACAGUCGGGCGUCUUAGCGACACCACAUAAAGGGCUUUAAAAGAAAUGCCACAGUCAGGCAUCUUAGCGACACCGCAUAAAGGGCUUUAACAGAAAUGCCACAGUCGGGCGUCUUAGCGACACCGCAUAAAGGGCUUUAAAAGAAAUGCCACAGUCGGGCGUCUUAGCGACACCGCAUAAAGGGCUUUAAAAGAAACAAUCGUAGUGAAUAUCCCGGAGGUAGAACCAUCCCAGGGAUAUUCGAUAAUACCAAUAAUAUCACGGGUUAGUCCACAACAAAAUUAAUAAUCAUAAUUAUCACAAGUCACAAGUCAUGAUUCCAGUUUUGGUUUAACAGUUUCACCUCCGAAGACCGACACUAAGACCCACACUUGACCCAGCCCAGACUGUAAUUCUUAACCAUGGACACGGCUAUUCGAAUAGGAUUAAUCUCUGUAGAGGGUGUACUCUUUACCCACGAGUGACGGGUUCCUUUAGUCCAUCGGGACUAAUUCCGUCUACGGUCUUUUUAUUGGAAACACACCUAACUUGCACACACCAGCUUAACUCACAUGUGUAUGGAAUCACCCACGACACCUGUCAAGCAAAACUUUAAGUGGGGAGGCUACAACCUCGACGUAACAUGGGGUCACAAAAUUUUUACCACGCGCAAACUGGGGAGAGACCCCCUUCGGCUACAACCGAAACACCCAUGCUCCCGUACCUGGUGGCAUGACUACCGGAUGCCUCCAGUAUCUUCCACCAUGGCCUCUCUGUACGGUGUGUGCUAGGAAAGGGGUUGACAACUUACUCAACCAUACCCUACUUGUUGUAGAGACGAGUGGUAGUAUGAAGCAAGUAUGGGGAUUACUGGCACAAGACUCGAUCUACGGUCGACUCAGGAGGUUCAAAUAUUUCCUGCAAGAUUAGCAUAACAAUACAUAUACUUCAACCAACAGAUAGAAACAUCACGCGACAUACCCCCUCAUGCCAUACCGGAGACGACCGUCUCGACGGAGGACUAGGGACAAGACCGUGUCUACCCAAGAGAUAGGCCUUCCCGGCUUCCCUUCCGGUAUGCAUGAAAGGCAUAUGACGGUGAUUUCCAUCACAACCAUAUCAACUCCAUCAGCAUAAAAAUCAUUAAUAUGCACUCAUGAGUAGGAUCACAUCCUCACAUAAAAUGACGUAUGCUCGAGUCGGGGUGGUGUUGUCACCGAGUCAAACAACACAUACAAAAAGUACACCAGGGUUCAGAAUGCUUGCCUUCAGGUCAUGAGAAAGCAGGGUGCAUUCCAAAACAUCUUGAAAUCUUCAAAAUCCUAUUUUUUUUAAAAAUAUAUGAAUUAAAACACAAAAUCAAAACAGCACAAAAAGUUGUUUUGAAUUUUUUUUCAAAUAAAUCUUAAAAUAAACUAGACAAUAUUUGAGAGAUGUAGGAAAAAGAAUUAAUUUAUUUGGAGUUGUAUUUAAUAAGAUACAGCCGGUCAAAGUUUGGUCAAAAUCUGUUAUUUAAAUUAAAACAGAAAAGAAAACGUUUCGAAUAUUUACGUACACGUCGAAGGCGUAUUUUGCAAAUGCGCUUCUACUUAACCCACGUGGACUAGGGCAGGGUCACUGACAGUGGGUCCAGGGGGCCCACUGGUCAGGUUUGACCAGUCCAUCCCUCCUUCCCGGCGAAUGGCUGCUCCCCGCGGGCUCUAGAGAGUCGAGAUGGAUCCGCAAGACCGGGGCGGUCCUCCCGGUGGUCGUUGGGUCGGCGGGGGUGGAGGGAGUCGCCGACGGUGAGCUUCGCGGCGGAGGAGGCCUCGGGAGCAAAGUGCUUUUGUGGCUGUGGUGGUUCCCGAUCAAAAUCGAGUUGGGGAAAGGGUUCACGGGAGGAAGAGAUGGCUCCUGGUGGAGAGAGUGGGGAGGGGGAGGUCCUAGUGGUGCCGGAAUGGCCGGGGCGGUGGCGGCUGCAGGAGUUGCCGGAGACGGGGAAGAAAACCUCCCCGCGUCGAUUGCGAGCUAGGGAAGCACCAUUGAGGUGGCUUGAGGUUGCCUGUGUGUGGGAACGGGCUCAAGGCUCCCUUAAAUAGGCGAGUCGAGGCGGUUCAGCGUGGCCGUGGAUGAGCUCGUCGGCGACCGACGUUCUGUAGCUGCAGGGCAUCGUGGCGAGGCUGGGGAUGGCGGCAGGAGCUAGCGGACGAGCGGCUACUGCUCCAAGGGCGAGUUGGCGAGCGGAGGUGGUUUGGGUGGCGCUGGCCAGCGCAGGAGCUGUCGGGCGGCAGUGGCGGCUAGCUGCUGGCCUGUCGGAGAUGUGGCGGGAGCUGCGGGGCUCGUGGGUUGCAGAAGGGGACAAGGCGUGCUGGCUGCGGUCGGUCACGGACCGGAGUGAGUGCGGGGCGGGACGCAGCGGCUCGGGCGCACGUGCGUGCCAAACGCACGCUCUAGGCGCGCCCAAAGCAUGCCCGGGACGUGCUCGAUGAAAUGCCAGGGUAGCCUAGAGGUCGCGGUUGAGGUUGAUAAGAAACAUGUCUAGUCUAGGGUUAGCAAGGGAAUCAAGGGACAAGGUGGAUAGGUCAGGGGCUCAAGUUCACGAUGUAAACUUGAAAUCAUGCCAAAUCUGGUUAUGCACUCAGGGUGUUUGUCAAAAUGCCAAGGGCAUCCAGGCAGUACUUGGGGUGGCCAAAUCUUCCAGAUCAGUGUCUCUAUGGAUGAAUGAGAGGGUGGUGAAGUUAGUUUGCCAAAAGGAGAAACUUUCUAGUGCAAGUUUUGCAAAACUACAAUUCUGGACAGGGAGUAAAUGGCAUCAUUACAUGGACCAACAGUAUUCCAAAGAGUGCAUGCUCCUGGACUUAGGGGUUUUGCAGGGUUGACUACAAGCAGAUGAAAGCACAAGGUCACUAGAGCAAGAAUGAAUGGGGUUGCAGUACAAAACACAAGUCUGGUCCAGAAUGAAAAAGAGGUUGGUUCACUCAAUUUUUCCAAAGAACAACACUAUGUUUUUGCAUAAAGUUGGAUGGCAUGCUACCACUGACAUCCCAUAAUUUUGGUGGAGGCUCUAGGGAAAUAUUUAGUUAGGCUAUAGUGCAAAAGUGCCCAUUGGACCAGAUUUGAAAAACAGGUGUAAAACUCAAAAUAUGCAAUGAAACAAUCAUAUUAUUGCACAAAAGUGAUUUAAAGACAUCACAUGACAUCUCCAAAUUUUGGUUGGAAUUUAAGUUAAAUUUAUCAAAUGGUUGCAGUACGAAAAGAGCUCCAAAACUUAAAGAAAGUUAUUUUAAUGAAUAAAGCUCAAGGUGAAAUAAUUUAAUAAAUAAUUCUACUGAUAAGAAAAUGUUAUACAGAGAGCAUAGAAGUCCAAUAUAUUUUGGAAAGCUCCACUUGGGAAAAACUCCUUAAUAUGGAAAGGAAGGUUCUGAAAUCAACAGAAAUAAAAAAUUUAAAACUCCUGGCAAAUUUUAUUAUUUAAAACUUGGUUAAACUUUUGGGGUGUUACAAUUACUACCCCCCUUAAGAAAAAUCUCGUCCUCGAGAUUUGCUAAGGGUUGCUAAACAAAAUACUUUUACUUGGUCAAAAGAUCAUUUUACUAAAGCGGAAAAAAGUGGCUACAGUGAGAGGGCAAUAAGUGGUGAGUAACUAUAGUGUGGAAUACUGGCGUUGUGGGAAGAAGUUCCACGUUUAGGAAAACGAGCGAUUUCUACGCUGGACGCAGUAAAUUUGGAAUAAAUUCUAAAUUCUACAAUACGCUGGUCGUACCCGAGAGCACAGUGCUCCCUCUGGCUGACAGGUGGGACCAGGGCCCACUGUCAGUCUCUCCUUCUUCCUCUGGCUCUCUCUUCUUCCUCUCUCCCGCACGCUUUCUCGGCUUUCUCCACCGGUGACGUUUAGCGCGUAGGGCAUCUAGGACGUACUGCGGUAGUGCGCGGCGUGCUUGCUGCCGGUGCAGUGUGCACUCACCUCGCGGGCCAGUGCGCUGUCGGCACUACUUGCGGAUUCGCCUCCGAACACCGGCGAUCGGGCGACGAGCGGCGCUGGUGGACUUCGCCCACCAUACACUGAUCCCGAGCUAUAAAAUGACCGCGGUGCUCCUUCUUGAUCUUCGCACUUGGCCUCGUUUCUCCUCCUCCUUCUCCUCCAUUACUGCUUACCGGAGCUCGAGACGAGGCUCCAAUGGCGGAGACGGUGCCGGACUGGAAUGUGAUCCUGGUGUGUGGUGGGCUGGCGGCAGUGCUGGGGCUCUCUGUGCUCCUGGGCGCGAUGAUCUUUGAUGAUCGCUGUGAUGCUGCCGCUCGGGUGCUGGCUCUCCGCGGUGGCGGUGAUCACGGGGAUUAGGCGUAAUUCGGUUAUUCACCGUUAUCGGUGUGCUGAAGGUGAUUAGUAUCCGGAUGAUUAUCCGCUAAUCUCUCCCUUGGAGGCAUGUGGAGUACUUAGAGGGGUGGUUGGUGAGAUGCAACAUGGUUGCAUGUAUUUGCAAGCAGUGUAAGAGUCCGAGUGGUUAUGGGUCUGCUGCCGUGGUGCUGCGUGAAUAAAAAUAAUCCAUGCAGUGAGGAAAUAAAUGAUGCAGCAACUCAGGGAAAAGAAAUCUCAUUCCAGGAUUUUCGCGGUUACACAGGUUACUCACGAAGAAAAACACUCAUAUAAGUAGAAACUAAAUAUUCGACUCGCCACACAAAUUCGAGGUACCAUGCAUAAGUUACAACGUAAUAAUAAAUGCUGAAAUAACACACACAGCAGUGACGUCUAAAAUGAGAAUGGUAACUGGACAGGGUCUCGAGAAAAAGUCUCUGGCAAUGGAAUACACUCCUCUUCUAUCAGAGGAAGUGGAUUGAUCAGUCGAUGUAUGCAUCUCUCCGGGUCGGGCCUCAGUGGUCUGCCGAUGGCAAUCUGAGGAUUCAGAUCAGUGAGACUCUGGAGAUAAUUCAUCACUCGCUGGUUCAAAUGCUCUUGAGUGAUGAUGUAUUGGAUAAGGUUGGCUAGCCCUGGGUCUCUCUCAAUCCGUCCACCGGGAAAAGAUGUUACUCCUCCGGGCAUUGCACGACUCAGAAAGUAAUAAUAUCCUCGUUCGCGGGCAUAGGGUACUGCAGAUCGAAGACGAGCAAUCGCUUCGUUCGCAGCAGCUUCUAUGGCCAAGCGUGGGGUCGGCAUAGAUUUCCCCACGAAGGAAACUUCCAUUGGAUCUUGGUUGGAGUCUACGGGAGGUAUGUGUACUGCUGCCUAACAUUCCGAGGUGGAAGGGGUGAUUCUCGAUUUCAACAGCUCGUACUGGGGUGGCUGGGUAGAACCCAUGGUACUGCAGGUAAAGUCCCACAAUAUUUUGACAAAGCUACCUGUUGGGGAACGUAGCAGAAAUUCAAAAUUUUCCUACGUGUCACCAAGAUCUAUCUAUGGAGAAACCAGCAACGAGGGGAAGGAGAGUGCAUCUACAUACCCUUGUAGAUCGCUAAGCGGAAGCGUUCAAGUGAACAGGGUUGAUGGAGUCAUACUCGUCGUGAUUCAGAUCACCGAUGAUCCUAGUGCCGAACGGACGGCACCUCCGCGUUCAAUACACGUACAGCUCGGCGAUGUCUCCCACGCCUUGAUCCAGCAAGGAGAGAGGGAGAGGUUGAGGAAGACUCCAUCCAGCAGCAGCACAACGGCGUGGUGGUGAUGGAGGAGCGUGGCAAUCCUGCAGGGCUUCGCCAAGCACCUACGGGAGAGGAGGAGGUGUCACGGGAGGGAGGGAGGCGCCAAGGGCUCAGGUAUGGAUGCCCUCCCUCCCCUCCACUAUAUAUAGGGGCAGGGGAGAGGGGGGAGGCGCAGCCUUGCCCCUUCCUCCAAGGAAUGGGUGCGGCUAAGAGGGGGGGAGGAGUCCAUCCUCCCCAAGGCACCUCGGAGGUGCGUUCCCCCUUUAGGACUCUCCCCUUUUUCCUAUAUCUUGGCGCAUGGGCCUCUAGGGGCUGGUGCCCUUGGCCCAUGUAGGCCAAGGCGCACCCCCUACAGCCCAUGUGGCCCCCCGGGGAAGGUGGCCCCACCCGGUGGGCCCCCAGGACCCUUCCUGUGGUCCCGGUACAAUACCGAUGACCCCGAAACUUGUCCCGAUGGCCGAAAUAGGACUUCCUAUAUAUAAAUCUUUACCUCCGGACCAUUCCGGAACUCCUCGUGACGUCCGGGAUCUCAUCCGGGACUCCGAACAACAUUCGGUAACCACAUACAAACUUCCUUUAUAACCCUAGCGUCAUCAAACCUUAAGUGUGUAGACCCUACGGGUUCGGGAGACAUGCAGACAUGACCGAGACGUUCUCCGGUCAAUAACCAACAGCGGGAUCUGGAUACCCAUGUUGGCUCCCACAUGUUCCACGAUGAUCUCAUCGGAUGAACCACGAUGUCAAGGACUCAAUCAAUCCCGUAUACAAUUCCCUUUGUCUAGCGGUAUGGUACUUGCCCGAGAUUCGAUCGUCGGUAUACCGAUACCUUGUUCAAUCUCGUUACCGGCAAGUCUCUUUACUCGUUCCGUAACACAUCAUCCCGUGAUCAACCCCUUGGUCACAUUGUGCACAUUAUGAUGAUGUCCUACCGAGUGGGCCCAGAGAUACCUCUCCGUUUACAUGGAGUGACAAAAUCCCAAUCUCGAUUUGUGCCAACCCAACAGACACUUUCAGAGAAAGCCGUAGUGUACCUUUAUAGCCACCCAGUUACGUUGUGACGUUUGGCACACCCAAAGCACUCCUACGGUAUCCGGGAGUUGCACAAUCUCAUGGUCUAAGGAAAUGAUACUUGACAUUAGAAAAGCUUUAGCAUACGAACUACAUGAUCUUGUGCUAGGCUUAGGAUUGGGUCUUGUCCAUCACAUCAUUCUCCUAAUGAUGUGAUCCCGUUAUCAACGACAUCCAAUGUCCAUGGUCAGGAAACCGUAACCAUCUAUUGAUUAACGAGCUAGUCAACUAGAGGCUUACUAGGGACAUGGUGUUGUCUAUGUAUCCACACAUGUAUCUGAGUUUCCUAUCAAUACAAUUCUAGCAUGGAUAAUAAACGAUUAUCAUGAACAAGGAAAUAUAAUAAUAAUCAAUUUAUUAUUGCCUCUAGGGCAUAUUUCCAACAGUCUCCCACUUGCACUAGAGUCAAUAAUCUAGUUCACAUCACCAUGUGAUUAACACUGACAGGUCACAUCACCAUGUGACCAACAUCCAAAGAGUCUUGGGUUUGAUCAUGUUGCUUGUGAGAGAGGUUUUUAGUCAACGGGUCUGAACCUUUCAGAUCCGUGUGUGCUUUACAAAUCUCUAUGUCAUCUCCUAGAUGUAGCUACCACGUUCUAUUUGGAGCUAUUCCAAAUAACUGUUCUACUUGGAGCUAUUCUAAAUUGUUGCUCCAUUAUACUUAUCCGGUAUCUCUACUCAGAGCUAUCCGGAUAGGUGUUAAGCUUGCAUCGACGUAACCCUUUAUGACGAACUCUUUUACCACCUCCAUAAUUGAAAAAAUUCCUUAGUCCACUAGUUACUAAGGAUAACUUUGACCGCUGUCCUGUGAUCCAUUCUUGGAUCACUCUUGUACCCCUUGACUGACUCAUGGUAAAGCACACUUCAGGUGCGGUACACAGCAUAGCAUUCUGUAGAGCCUAUGUCUUAAGCAUAGGGGACGACCUUCGUUCCUUUCUCUCUAUUCUUCCAUGGUCGAGCUUUAAGUCUUAACUUCAUACCUUACAACUCAGGCAAGAACUCCUUCUUUGACUGAUCCAUCUUGAACACCUUCAAGAUCACGUCAAGGCAUGUGCUCAUUUGAAAGUACUAUUAAGCGUUUUGAUCUAUCCUUAUAGAUCUUGAUGCUCAAUGUUCAAGUAGCUUAAUCCAGGUUUUCCAUUGAAAACACUUUCCAAAUAACCCUAUAUGCUUUCCAGAAAUUCUACGUCAUUUCUGAUCAUUAAUAUGUCAACAACAUAUACUCAUCAGAAAUUCUAUAGUGCUCCCACUCACUUCUUUGGAAAUACAAGUUUCUCAUAAACUUUGUAUACACCCAAAAUCUUUGAUCAUCUCAUCAAAGCAUACAUUCCAACUCCGAGAUGCUUACUCCAGUCCUUAGAAGGAUAGCUGGAGCUUUGCAUACUUAUUAGCAUCUUUCAGGAUUGACAAAACCUUCUGGUUGUAUCACAUACAACCUUUCCUUAAGAAAAUCGUCGAGGAAACAAUGUUUUGACAUCCUAUCUGCAAGAGUUCAUAAAUAAUGCAGUAAUCGCUAAUAUAAUUCCAACAGACUCUUAGCAUCGCUACGAGUGAGAAAGUCUCAUCGUAGUCAACUCCUUGAACUUGUCGAAAAACAUCUUAAUGACAAGUCGAGCUUUCUCAAUGGUGACACUUACCAUCAUUGUCUGUCUUCCUUUCAAAAUCCAUCUGCACUCAACAGCCUUACGACCAUCGAGUUGUUCUGCCAAAGUCUACACUUUGUUUUCAUACAUGGAUCCUAUCUUGGAUUUUAUGGCUUCUAACCAUUUUUCGGAAUUUGGGCCCACCAUCACUUCUCCAUGGCUCGUAGGUUCAUUGUUGUCUAGCAACAUGACCUUCAAGACAGGAUUACUGUACCACUCUGAAGUAGUACGUAUCCUUGUCACCCUACGAGGUUCGGUAGUGACUUGAUCCGAAACUUCAUGAUCACUAUCAUAAGCUUCCACUUCAAUUGGUGUAGGUGCCACAGGAACAACUUCCUGUGCCCUGCUACACACUUGUUGAAGUGACGGUUCAAUAACCUCAUCAAGUCUCCACCAUCCUCCCACUCAAUUCUUUCGAGAGAAACUUUUCCUCGAGAAAGGACCCGAUUCUAGAAACAAUCCCUUAUUGCUUUCGAAUCUGAGACAGGAGGUAUACCCAACUGUUUUGGGUGUCCUAUGAAGAUGCAUUUAUCCGCUUUGGGUUCGAGCUUAUCAGCCUGAAACAUUUCCACAUAAGCAUCGCAGCCCCAAACUUCUAAGAAAUGACAGCUUAGGUUUCUCUAAACCAUAGUUCAUACGGUGUCAUCUCAUCGGAAUUACGUGGUGCCCUAUUUAAAGUGAAUGUGGUUGUCUCUAAUGCCUAACCCAUAAACUAUCGUGGUAAUUCGAUAAGAGACAUCAUGGUAUGCAUCAUAUCCAAUAGGGUGCAGUUAUGAUGUUCGGAUACACCAUCACACUAUGGUGUUCCAGGCUGUAUUAGUUGUGAAACUAUUUCCACAAUGUCUUAAUUCUGUGCCAAACUCGUAAUUCAGAUAUUCAUCUCUAUGAUCAUAUCAUAGAUAUUUUAUCCUCUUGUCACGAUGAUCUUUCAACUUCACCCUGAAAUUACUUGAACCUUUCAAUAAUUCAGACUCAUGAUUCAUCAAGCAAAUGUACUCAACAUCCACUCAAAUUAUCUGUGAAGUAAGAACAUAACAAUAUCCACUACAUGCCUCAGCACUCAUUGGACUGUACACAUCAAAAUGUAUUACUUCCAACAAGUUGCUAUCUUGUUCCAUCUUACUGAAAACGAGGCUUUUCAGUCAUCUUGCCCGUGUGGUAGGAUUUGCAUGUCCCAAGUGAUUCAAAAUCAAGUGAGUCAAAACGGUCCAUUUGCAUGGAGUUUCUUCAUGCAUAUACACCAAUAGACAUGGUUCGCAUGUCUCAAACUUUUCAAAACGAGUGAGCCCAAAGAUCCAUCAAUAUGGAGCUUCUUCAUGCGUUUUAUACCGAUAUGACUUACGUGGCAGUGCCACAAGUAGGUGGUGCUAUCAUUACUAUCUUUUGGCAUGAACAUGUGUAUCACUACGAUCGAGAUUUAAUAAACCAUACAUUUUAGGUGUAAGGCCAUUGAAGGUAUUAUUCAAAUAAACAGAGUAACCAUUAUUCUCCUUAAAUGAAUAACCGUAUUGCGAUAGACGUAAUCCAAUCAUGUCUAUGCUCAACGCAAACACCAAAUAACAAUUAUUUAGGUUUAACACCAAUCUCUUUGGUAGAGGGAGCGUGCGAUGCUUGAUCAUAUCAAGCUUGGAAAAACUUCCAACACAUAUCGUCAGCUCACCUUUAGCUAGUCUCCGCUUAUUCCGUAGCCUUUUGUUUCGAGUUACUAACACUUAGCAACCGAACCGGUAUCUAAUACCCUGGUGCUACUAGGAGUACUAGCAAAGUACACAUUAACACAAUGUAUAUCCAAUAUACUUCUAUCGACCUUGCCAGCCUUCUUAUCUACCAAGUAUCUAGGGUAAUUCUGCUCUAGUGGUUGUUCCCCUUAUUACAGAAGCACUUAGUCUCGGGUUUGGGUUUUACCUUGGGUUUCUUCACUAGAGCAGCAGCUGAUUUGCCGUUUCAUGAAGUAUCCCUUCUUGCCAUUGCCCUUCUUGAAACUAGUGGUUUCACCAACCAUCAACAAUUGAUGCUCCUUCUUGAUUUCUACUUUCGCAGUGUCAAACAUCGUGAAUACCUCAAGGAUCAUCAUAUCUAUCCCUGAUAUGUUAUAGUUCAUUAUGAAGCUCUAGCAGCUUGGUGGUAAUGACUUCGGAGAAACAUCACUAUCUCAUCUGGAAGAUCAACUCCCACUCGAUUCAAGCGAUUGUUGUACUCAGACAAUCUGAGCACAAGCUCAACAAUUGAGCUUUUCUCCUUAGUUUGCAGGUUAAGAAAGUCAUCGGAGGUCUUGUACCUCUUGACAUGGGCACGAGCCUGAAAUCCCAAUUUCAGCCCUCAAAACAUCUCAUAUGUUUCGCGACGUUUCUAUAAAUGUCUUUGGUGCCUCAACUCUAAACCAUUUAACUGAACUAUCACGUAGUUAUCAAAACGUGUAUGUCAGAUGUUCGCAACAACCACAGACAACGUUCGAGGUUCAGCACACUGAGCGGUGCAUUAAGGACAUAAGCCUUCUAUGAAGCAAUGAGGACACUCCUCAGUUUAUGAACCUAGUACGCAUAAUUGCUACUAUCAACUUUCAACUAAUUUUUCUCUAGGAACAUAUCUAAACAGUAGAACUAUAGCGUGAGCUACAACAUAAUUUGCAAAAACCUUUUGACUAUGUUCAGGAUAAUUAAGUUCAUCUUAUGAACUCCCACUCAGAUAGACAUCCCUCUAGUCAUCUAAGUGAUUACAUGAUCCGAGUCAAACUAGGCCGUGUCCGAUCAUCACGUGAGAUGGACUAGUCAUCAUCGGUGAACAUCUUCAUGUUGAUCGUAUCUUCUAUAUGACUCAUGUUUGACCUUUCGGUCUCCGUGUUUCGAGGCCAUGUCUGUACAUGCUAGGCUCGUCAAGUUAACCCUAAGUGUUGCGCGUGUGUAAAUCUGUCUUACACCCGUUGUAUGUGAACGUUAGAAUCUAACACCCGAUCAUCACGUGGUGCUUCAAACAUGAACUGUCGCAACGGUGCACAGUUAGGGGAGAACACUUCUUGAGAUUGUUGUAAGGGAUCAUCUUAUUUACUACCGUCGUUCUAAGCAAAUAAGAUGUAUAAACAUGAUAAACAUCACAUGCAAUCAAAUAGUGACAUGAUAUGGCCAUCAUCACUUUGCUCCUUUUGAUCUCCAUCUUCGGGGCUCCAUGAUCAUCAUCGUCACCGGCAUGACACCAUGAUCUCCAUCAUCAUGAUCUCCAUCAUCGUGUCUUCAUGAAGUUGCCUCGCCAACUAUUACUUCUAUUACUAUGGCUAACGGUUAGCAAUAAAGUAAAGUAAUUACAUGACAUUUAAGUUGACACGCAGGUCACAAAUAAAUAAAGACAACUCCUAUGGCUCCUGCCGGUUGUCAUACUCAUCGACAUGCAAGUCGUGAUUCCUGUUACAAGAACAUGAUCAAUCUCAUACAUCACAUAUAUCAUUCAUCACAUCCUUUUUGGCCAUAUCACAUCACAUAGCAUACCCUGCAAAAACAAGUUAGACGUCCUCUAAUUGUUGUUUGCAUGUUUUACGUGGCUGCUAUGGGUUUCUAGCAAGAACGUUUCUUACCUACGCAUGAACCACAACCUGAUAUGCCAAUUGCUAUUUACCCUUCAUAAGGACCCUUUUCAUCGAAUCCGAUCCGACUAAAGUGGGAGAGACAGACACCCGCCAGCCACCUUAUGCAACUAGUGCAUGUUUGUCAGUGGAACCGGUCUCACGUAAGCGUACGUGUAAGGUUGGUCCGGGCCGCUUCAUCCCACGAUGCCGCCGAAUCAAGAUAAGACUAGUAACGGCAAGCAUAUUGAACAAUAUCGACGCCCACAACUACUUUGUGUUCUACUCGUGCAAAGAAUCUACGCAAUAGACCUAGCUCAUGAUGCCACUGUUGGGGAACGUAGCAGAAAUUCAAAAUUUUCCUACGUGUCACCAAGAUCUAUCUAUGGAGAAACCAGCAACGAGGGGAAGGAGAGUGCAUCUACAUACCCUUGUAGAUCGCUAAGCGGAAGCGUUCAAGUGAACAGGGUUGAUGGAGUCGUACUCGUCGUGAUUCAGAUCACCGAUGAUCCUAGUGCCGAACGGACGGCACCUCCGCGUUCAACACACGUACAGCUCGACGAUGUCUCCCACGCCUUGAUCCAGCAAGGAGAGAGGGAGAGGUUGAGGAAGACUCCAUCCAGCAGCAGCACAACGGCGUGGUGGUGAUGGAGGAGCGUGGCAAUCCUGCAGGGCUUCGCCAAGCACCUACGGGAGAGGAGGAGGUGUCACGGGAGGGAGGGAGGCGCCAAGGGCUCAGGUAUGGAUGCCCUCCCUCCCCUCCACUAUAUAUAGGGGCAGGGGAGAGGGGGGAGCCGCAGCCUUGCCCCUUCCUCCAAGGAAGGGGUGCGGCUAAGAGGGGGGGAGGAGUCCAUCCUCCCCAAGGCACCUCGGAGGUGCCUUCCCCCUUUAGGACUCUCCCCUUUUUCCUAUAUCUUGGCGCAUGGGCCUCUAGGGGCUGGUGCCCUUGGCCCAUGUAGGCCAAGGCGCACCCCCAACAGCCCAUGUGGCCCCCCGGGGCAGGUGGCCCCACCUGGUGGGCCCCCGGGACCCUUCCGGUGGUCCCAGUACAAUACCGAUGACCCCGAAACUUGUCUCGAUGGCCGAAACAGGACUUCCUAUAUAUAAAUCUUUACCUCCGGACCAUUCCGGAACUCCUCGUGACGUCCGGGAUCUCAUCCGGGACUCUGAACAACAUUCGGUAACCACAUACAAACUUCCUUUAUAACCCUAGCGUCAUCGAACCUUAAGUGUGUAGACCCUACGGGUUCGGGAGACAUGCAGACAUGACCGAGACGUUCUCCGGUCAAUAACCAACAGUGGGAUCUGGAUACCCAUGUUGGCUCCCACAUGUUCCACGAUGAUCUCAUCGGAUGAACCACGAUGUCAAGGACUCAAUCAAUCCCGUAUACAAUUCCCUUUGUCUAGCGGUAUGGUACUUGCCCGAGAUUCGAUCGUCGGUAUACCGAUACCUUGUUCAAUCUCGUUACCAGCAAGUCUCUUUACUCGUUCCAUAACACAUCAUCCCGUGAUCAACCCCUUGGUCACAUUGUGCACAUUAUGAUGAUGUCCUACCGAGUGGGCCCAGAGAUACCUCUCCGUUUACACGGAGUGACAAAAUCCCAAUCUCGAUUCGUCCCAACACAACAGACACUUUCAGAGAUACCCGUAGUGUACCUUUAUAGCCACCCAGUUACGUUGUGACGUUUGGCACACCCAAAGCACUCCUACGGUAUCCGGGAGUUGCACAAUCUCAUGGUCUAAGGAAAUGAUACUUGACAUUAGAAAAGCUUUAGCAUACGAACUACAUGAUCUUGUGCUAGGCUUAGGAUUGGGUCUUGUGCAUCACAUCAUUCUCCUAAUGAUGUGAUCCCGUUAUCAACAACAUCCAAUGUCCAUGGUCAGGAAACCGUAACCAUCUAUUGAUUAACGAGCUAGUCAACUAGAGGCUUACUAGGGACAUGGUGUUGUCUAUGUAUCCACACAUGUAUCUGAGUUUCCUAUCAAUACAAUUCUAGCAUGGAUAAUAAACGAUUAUCAUGAACAAGGAAAUAUAAUAAUAAUCAAUUUAUUAUUGCCUCUAGGGCAUAUUUCCAACACUACCUGGGGUUGCAUCUGGGGUUCUCCGAUAAAUACUAGGGCUCGGCAUGGCAAGAAAUGGUUGUGAGAGUGGUGCACGAGGUGAGGGUUGCUGGGUAAGGUCACAAGGUGGCCUUUCUUAUAUAGCAUCUGGGUUGGUUUAUUUACCGUGGUGAAAGGUAAUAAAUAUGCCAGAUCACCUCCAAAGGUCGGGGUCAGUGUCAGAGAUACACAUAUCUCAUAAAGAGACGUGUUAUUGUGGGUGUCAUCGGGGUUGGUUUUGGUAGUUGUGCCCGGAAAAUGUGCAACUAUGCGCUGACAAAACACGCAAGGCUACUAUUAAAACAGAGGCACAACGACAGGCUGCGUUAAUAUACAAGGUCGCACGAUUACAAGCGAGGAUACACUGAGACUGGAUACUACUAGUAUGGCUUAGUCUACCUCGUUUAUGUCUAAAUGGGCGUGCCUGGUGGAUGUCGAGGCUUCUCCACGUGUCUCACUAUCGGGAUUAGUCAGAGAUGGUGGAGGAACUGCAGGGUUGGGGUAGCGAUGAUGACCAUCGCGGGGAUUGUUGGCCACAAUUCCGUUGGAGUGUGCUCCCAAAAGGUGAUGAAGCACUUCUGGGGUCAUCAAAGUACCUUGGCCGCUGACUGGAGCUGACCUCAGGGCCUCGAUCGGGUGUCCGAACAGCACGACUGGGUUGUCGGUGCCGGGCUCGGCUUCCCUGCUUGUCGGGGCUCUGCGAACCAGCUCUCCUCGAGCUGCGAUCAGAUCAAUGGUGAUCUGGUCGAACAGUGCCUCUAGUGCACUUAGAGAGCGCACUAGGUGCAACAAUGCGGGUUCCGUCUCAUGAUCUCCGUUGGCAACUUGGGGUGGACUACCAUACCCUUCACGCUUGGGGUAGUAGUAGAACGAGCGACAGUUAAAUCUGGGCGACAACUGCCAGAGUUGAACUAUAGCCUCUCGAGCAGCUAGCUGGAUGGCUCGUGGCUCGAAGGAAGUUGUCCUUCCGAUGAACCUGUUGGGGUGUUCUGGCGACAGACCCCUACCAUAGAUGUGCACAGUGGCCCAGAAUUGGCGGUCCUCACCGCUCAUGGGACCUUGGUACACAACAUAUUCUCGGGCUCUUCUAACGCAUAGGCACGACGGGUGAGGUUUGCGAGUAUGGUCACGAAACCUCCAAGGUUGGUUGCUGUGGUCUCAUUGUGCACUAUGGGACCAGACAUUGUGGCUAGGUUGGGGAAGAGGCUGUGCUGUGCUGGGUUGAGGCUAGCGUGCCCUUUUUAUAGAAAAGGGAACGGAGUCUUCCUUCGCAUGCUUGCGAAUGAGACAUUUUUGCCAUCGGUCACUGGUGUGUCAUCGACAGGCUAGGCUGAUAGGUUGGGCACCGACUGCCAAAAGUGUCGGGAUCACAGUGUGGCUAUCUUGCACGGGAAGCUUGGCUGGGGUUUUGGUUAGGGUCUGGUAGGUUGGUUUGCCUAAGUUUUUCGACCUGGCUAAGAUAAGAUUAGCCAAUGGUCAGCCUGGCUCUGGUACCAAGCUUGUGGGGACCGAUUCUCCAUGCAUUAAUUUCCAUAAAAUGGCCCUUGUGCUCACUAGCCACAAGAUAACUGUUAGCUGAUGAGGCACCAACUUGAUACAUAAUUUCCAAGCAAGAUACAAAAUAUGUAGUACAAGACCAUUCUGGCGUGUGAGUACAACAAAUGGUUUCUAAUGGUUGAUGGCGGAAGCGAUUUGUGGAUCAUCAGUGUCUAUGGGACUCCAAUUCCCACAGGAACAGCUGACCAGGUUAACUCCUAUCUUCGCGAGGCUGCUAUCACCUUUGCUUAGGUUCUGGGACUGUCUCCACGGUCGCUCCUCUCCGCGCAAGAAAAUCUGGCCAAGACAAUAGCCAGGGACAAGCCAGUGAGUACUUUGAAUGUACUCGCAAACAUUUGUGAACACAGGUAUAAUAUAACAAUGAUGUGCUGAAAAUAUUUUAUGCUCAUGACGUCAGUCACAAAAGAUAAAUAAAACUCUGAUGCAUGCAAGCAUGUUAUUUAUGAAUAUGCAAUAACAUAGUAGUAUUAAAAUUAUGAAAAUAAAUAACAAGUAUGCCAUAGUCGUGCGUCUUAGCGACACCACAUAAAGGGCUUUAGAAGAAAUGCCACAGUCGGGCAUCUUAGCGACACCACAUAAAGGGCUUUAAAAGAAAUGCCACAGUCGGGCGUCUUAGCGACACCACAUAAAGGGCUUUAAAAGAAAUGCCACAGUCGGGUGUCUUAGCGACACCGCAUAAAGGGCNNNNNNNNNNNNNNNNNNNNNNNNNNNNNNNNNNNNNNNNNNNNNNNNNNNNNNNNNNNNNNNNNNNNNNNNNNNNNNNNNNNNNNNNNNNNNNNNNNNNNNNNNNNNNNNNNNNNNNNNNNNNNNNNNNNNNNNNNNNNNNNNNNNNNNNNNNNNNNNNNNNNNNNNNNNNNNNNNNNNNNNNNNNNNNNNNNNNNNNNNNNNNNNNNNNNNNNNNNNNNNNNNNNNNNNNNNNNNNNNNNNNNNNNNNNNNNNNNNNNNNNNNNNNNNNNNNNNNNNNNNNNNNNNNNNNNNNNNNNNNNNNNNNNNNNNNNNNNNNNNNNNNNNNNNNNNNNNNNNNNNNNNNNNNNNNNNNNNNNNNNNNNNNNNNNNNNNNNNNNNNNNNNNNNNNNNNNNNNNNNNNNNNNNNNGACACCACAUAAAGGGCUUUAAAAGAAAUGCCACAGUCGGGCGUCUUAGCGACACCACAUAAAGGGCUUUAAAAGAAAUGCCACAGUCGGGCGUCUUAGCGACACCGCAUAAAGGGCUUUAAAAGAAAUGCCACCGUCGGGCGUCUUAGCGACACCGCAUAAAUGGCUUUAAAAGAAAUGCCACAGUCGGGUGUCUUAGCGACAACACAUAAAGGGCUUUAAAAGAAACAACCAUAGUGAAUAUAUCAGAGGUAGAACCAUCCCAGGGAUAUUCGAUAAUACCAAUAAUAUCACAGGUUAGUCCAGAACAAAAUUAAUAUUCAUAAUUAUCACAAGUCACAAGUCGUGAUUCUAGUUUUGGUUUAACAGUUUCACCUCCGAAGACCGACAUUUGACCGACACUUGACCCAUCCCAGACUAUAAUCCUUAACCAUGGACACGGCUAUUCGAAUAGGUUUAAUCUCUGCAGAGGGUGUACUCUUUACCCACGAGUGACGGGUUCCUUUAGUCCAUCAGGACUAAUUCUGUCUACGGUCUUUUUGUUGGAAACACACCUAACUUGCACACACCAGCUUAACUCACAUGUGUCUGGAAUCACCCACGACACCUGUCAAGCAAAACUUUAAGUGGGGAGGCUACAACCUCGACGUAACAUGGGAUCACAAAAAUUUUACCGCGCGCAAACUUGGGAGGUACCCCCUUCGGCUACAACCGAAACACCAAUGCUCCCGGACCCGGUGGCAUGACUACCGGAUUCCUCCAGUAUCUUCCACCAUGGCCUCUCUGUACGGUGUGUGCUAGGACAGGGGUUGACAACUUACUGAACCGUACCCUACUUGUUGUAGAGACGAGUGGUAGUACGAAGCAAGUAUGGGGGUUACUGGCACAAGACUCAAUCUACUGUCGACUCAGGAGGUUCAAAUAUUUCCUGCAAGAUUAGCAUAACAAUACAUAUACUUCAACCAACAGAUAGAAACAUCACGCGACAUACCCCCUCAUGCCAUACCGGACACGACCGUCUCGACGGAGGACUAGGGACAAGACCGUGUCUACCCAAGACAGAGGCCUUCCCGGCUUCCCUUCCGGUAUGCAUGAAAGGCAUAUGACGGUGAUUUCCAUCACAACCAUAUCAACUCCAUCAGCAUAAAAAUCAUUAAUAUGCACUCAUGAGUAGGAUCACAUCCUCACAUAAAAUGACGUAUGCUCGAGUCGGUGUGGCGUUGUCACCGAGUCAAACAACACAUACAAAAAUUACACCAGGGUUCAGAAUGCUUGCCUUCAGGUCAUGAGAAAGCAGGGUGCAUUCCAAAACAUCUUGAAAUCUUCAAAAUCCUAUUUUAUAAAUAUAUAUAUAUGAAUUAACACACAAAAUCAAAACAGCAGAAAAAGUUGUUUUCAAAUUUUUUCAAAUAAAUCUUAAAAUAAACUAGACAAUAUUUGAGAGAGGUAGGAAAAAGAAUUAUUUUAUUUGGAGUUGUAUUUAAUAAGAUACAACCGGUCAAAGUUUGGUCAAAAUCUGUUAUUUAAAUUAAAACAGAAAAGAAAACGUUUCGAAUAUUUACGUACACAUCGAAGGCGUAUUUUGGAAAUGCGCUUCCACUUAACCCACGUGGACUGGGGCUGGCUCACUGAUAGUGGGUCCAGGGGGCCCACUGGUCAGGUUUGACCAGUCCAUCCCUCCUUCCUCUUCCUUCGCCCGAACGGAGGCGAGGCGACGGCGAUCGACGCUCGCGAAUGGAUGCUCCCCGUGGGCUCCAGAGAGUCGAGAUGGAUCCGCAAGACUGAGGCGGUCCUCCCGGUGGUCGUUGGGUCGGCGGGGGUGGAGGGAGUCGCCGACGGUGAGCUUCGCGGCGGAGGAGGCCUCGGGAGCAAAGUGCUUUUGUGGCUGUGGGGGUUCCCGAUCAAAAUCGAGUAGGGGAAAGGGUUCAUGGGAGGAAGAGAAGGCUCCUGGUGGAGAGAGUGGAGAGGGGGAGGUCCUAGUGGUGCCGGAAUGGCCGGGGCGGUGGCGGCGGCAGGAGUUGCCGGAGACGGGGAAGAAAACCUCCCCGGGUCGAUUGCGAGCUAGGGAAGCGCCAUUGAGGUGGCCUCUGUGCGGGAACGGGCUCGGGGCUCCCUUAAAUAGGCGAGUCGAGGCGGUUCAGCGGCGGCCACGGAUGAGCUCGUCGGCGACUGACGUUCUGUAGCUGCAGGGCAUCGUGGCGAGGCUGGGGAUGGCGGUAGGAGCUAGCGGACGAGCGGCUACUGCUCCAAGGGCGAGCUAGCGAGCGGAGGUGGCUUGGGCGGCGCUGGCCAGCGCAGGAGCUAUCGACUGGAAGUGGCGGCUAGCUGCUGGCCUGCCGGAGACGUGGCGAGAGCUGCUGGGCUCGUGGGGUGCAGAAGGGGACACGGCGUGCUGGCUGCGGUCGGUCACAGACCGGCGUGAGUGCGGGGCGGGACGUGGUGGCUCAGGCACACGUGCGUGCCAAACGCACGCUCUGGGCGCGCCCAGAGCAUGCCCAGGUCGUGCUCGAUGAAAUGCCAGGGUAGCCUAGAGGUCCCAGUUGAGGUUGGUAAGAAACAUGGCUAGUCUAGGGUUAGCAAGGGAAUCAAGGGACAAGGUGGAUAGGUCAGGGGCUCAAGUUCACGAUGUAAACUUGAAAUCAUGCCAAAUCUGGCUAUGCACUCAGGGUGUUUGUCAAAAUGCCAAGGGCAUCCAGGCAGUACUUGGGGUGGCCAAAUCUUCCAGAUCAAUGUCUCUAUGGAUGAAUGAGAGGGUGGUGAAAUUAGUUUGCCAAAAGGAGAAACUUUCUAGUGCAAGUUUUGCAAAACUACAAUUCUGGACAGGGAGUAAAUGGCAUCAUUACAUGGACCAAAAGUGUUCCACAGAGUGCAUGCUCCUGGACUUAGGGGUUUUGGAGGGUUGACUACAAGCAGGUGAAAGCACAAGGUCACUAGAGCAAGAAUGAAUGGGGUUGCAGUACAAAACACAAGUCUGGUCCAGAAUGAAAAAGAGGUUGGUUCACUCAAUUUUUCCAAAGAACAACACUAUGUUUUUGCAUAAAGUGGGAUGGCAUGCUACCACUGACAUCCCAUAAUUUUGGUGGAGGCUCUAGGGAAAUAUUUAGUUAGGCUAUAGUGCAAAAGUGCCCAUUGGACCAGAUCUGAAAAACAGGUGUAAAACUCAAAAUAUGCAAUGAAAUAAUCAUAUUAUUGCACAAAAGUGAUUUACAGACAUCACAUGACAUCUCCAACUUUUGGUUGGAAUUUUAGUUAAAUUUAUCAAAUGGUUGCAGUAAAAAAAGAGCUCGAAAACUUAAAGAAAGUCAUUUUAAUGAAUAAAGCUCAGGGUGAAAUAAUUUAAUAAAUAAUUCUACUGAUAAGAAAAUGUUAUACAGAGAGCAUAGAAGUCCAAUAUGUUUUGGAAAGCUCCACUUGGGAAAAACUCCUUAAUAUGGAAAGGAAGGUUCUGAAAUCAACAGAAAUAAAAAAUUUAAAACUCCUGGCAAAUUUUAUUAUUUAAAACUUGGUUAAAUUUUUGGGGUGUUACAAUUACUACCCCCCUUAAGAAAAAUCUCGUCCUCGAGAUUUGCUAAGGGUUGCUAAACAAAAUACUUUUACUUGGUCAAAAGAUCAUUUUACUAAAGCGGAAAAAAGUGGCUACAGUGAGAGGGCAAUAAGUGUUGAGUAACUAUAGUGUGGAAUACUGGCGUUGUGGGAAGAAGUUCCACGUUUAGGAAAACGAGCGAUUUCUACGCUGGACGCAGUAAAUUUGGAAUAAAUUCUAAAUUCUACAAUACGCUGGUCGUACCCGAGAGCACAGUGCUCCCUCUGGCUGACAGGUGGGACCAGGGCCCACUGUCAGUCUCUCCUUCUUCCUCUGGCUCUCUCUUCUUCCUCUCUCCCGCACGCUUUCUCAGCUUUCUCCACCGGUGACGUUUAGCGCGUAGGGCAUCUAGGACGUACUGCGGUAGUGCGCGGCGUGCUUGCUUGCUGCCGAUGCAGUGUGCACUCACCUCGCGGGCCAGUGCGCUGUCGGCACUACUUGCGGAUUCGCCUCCGAACACCGGCGAUCGGGCGACGAGCGGCGCUGGUGGACUUCGCCCACCAUACACUGAUCCCGAGCUAUAAAAUGACCGCGGUGCUCCUUCUUGAUCUUCGCACUUGGCCUCGUUUCUCCUCCUCCUUCUCCUCCAUUACUGCUUACCGGAGCUCGAGACGAGGCUCCAAUGGCGGAGACGGUGCCGGACUGGUAUGUGAUCCUGGUGUGUGGUGGGCUGGCGGCAGUGCUGGCGCUCUCUGUGCUCCUGGGCGCGAUGAUCUUUGAUGAUCGCUGUGAUGCUGCCGCUCGGGUGCUGGCUCUCCGCGGUGGCGGUGAUCACGGGGAUUAGGCGUAAUUCCGGUUAUUCACCGUUAUCGGUGUGCUGAAGGUGAUUAGUAUCCGGAUGAUUAUCCGCUAAUCUCUCCCUUGGAGGCAUGUGGAGUACUUAGAGGGGUGGUUGGUGAGAUGCAACAUGGUUGCAUGUAUUUGCAAGCAGUGUAAGAGUCCGAGUGGUUAUGGGUCUGCUGCCGUGGUGCUGCGUGAAUAAAAAUAAUCCAUGCAGUGAGGAAGUAAAUGAUGCAGCAACUCAGGGAAAAGAAAUCUCAUUCCAGGAUUUUCGCGGUUACACAGGUUACUCACGAAGAAAAACACUCAUAUAAGUAGAAACUAAAUAUUCGACUCACCACACAAAUUCGAGGUACCAUGCAUAAGUUACAACGUAAUAAUAAAUGCUGAAAUAACACACACAGCAGUGACGUCUAAAAUGAGAAUGGUAACUGGACAGGGUCUCGAGAAAAAGUCUCUGGCAAUGGAAUACACUCCUCUUCUAUCGGAGGAAGUGGAUUGAUCAGUCGAUGUAUGCAUCUCUCCGGGUCGGGCCUCAGUGGUCUGCCGAUGGCAAUCUGAGGAUUCAGAUCAGUGAGACUCUGGAGAUAAUCCAUCACUCGCUGGUUCAAAUGCUCUUGAGUGAUGAUGUAUUGGAUAAGGUUGGCUAGCCCUGGGUCUCUCUCAAUCGGUCCACCGGGAAAAGAUGUUACUCCUCCGGGCGUUGCACGGCUCAGAAAGUAAUAAUAUCCUCGUUCGCGGGCAUAGGGUACUGCGGAUCGAAGACGAGCAAUCGCUUCGUUCGCAGCAGCUUCUAUGGCCAAGCGUGGGGUCGGCAUAGAUUUCCCCACGAAGGAAACUUCCAUUGGAUCUUGGUUGGAGUCUACGGGAGGUAUGUGUACUGCUGCCUAAUAUUCCGAGGUGGAAGGGGUGAUUCUCGAUUUGAACAGCUCGUACUGGGGUGGCUGGGUAGAACCCAUGGUACUGCAGGUAAAGUCCCACAAUAUUUUGACAAAGCUACCUGUUGGGGAACGUAGCAGAAAUUCAAAAUUUUCCUACGUGUCACCAAGAUCUAUCUAUGGAGAAACCAGCAACGAGGGGAAGGAGAGUGCACCUACAUACCCUUGUAGAUCGCUAAGCGGAAACGUUCAAGUGAACGGGGUUGAUGGAGUCGUACUCGUCGUGAUUCAGAUCACCGAUGAUCCUAGUGCCGAACGGACGGCACCUCCGCGUUCAACACACGUACAGCUCGACGAUGUCUCCCACGCCUUGAUCCAGCAAGGAGAGAGGGAGAGGUUGAGGAAGACUCCAUCCAGCAGCAGCACAACGGUGUGGUGGUGAUGGAGGAGCGUGGCAAUCCUGCAGGGCUUCGCCAAGCACCUACGGGAGAGGAGGAGGUGUCACGGGAGGGAGGGAGGCGCCAAGGGCUCAGGUAUGGAUGCCCUCCCUCCCCUCCACUAUAUAUAGGGGCAGGGGAGAGGGGGGAGGCGCAGCCUUGCCCCUUCCUCCAAGGAAGGGGUGCGGCUAAGAGGGGGGGAGGAGUCCAUCCUCCCCAAGGCACCUCGGAGGUGCGUUCCCCCUUUAGGACUCUCCCCUUUUUCCUAUAUCUUGGCGCAUGGGCCUCUAGGGGCUGGUGCCCUUGGCCCAUGUAGGCCAAGGCGCACCCCCUACAGCCCAUGUGGCCCCCCGGGGCAGGUGGCCCCACCCGGUGGGCCCCCGGGACCCUUCCGGUGGUCCCGGUAGAAUAUCGAUGACCCCGAAACUUGUCCCGAUGGCCGAAACAGGACUUCCUAUAUAUAAAUCUUUACCUCCGGACCAUUACGGAACUCCUCGUGACGUCCGGGAUCUCAUCCGGGACUCCGAACAACAUUCGGUAACCACAUACAAACUUCCUUUAUAACCCUAGCGUCAUCGAACCUUAAGUGUGUAGACCCUACGGGUUCGGGAGACAUGCAGACAUGACCGAGACGUUCUCCGGUCAAUAACCAACAGCGGGAUCUGGAUACCCAUGUUGGCCCCCACAUGUUCCACGAUGAUCUCAUCGGAUGAACCACGAUGUCAAGGACUCAAUCAAUCCCGUAUACAAUUCCCUUUGUCUAGCGGUAUGGUACUUGCCCGAGAUUCGAUCGUCGGUAUACCGAUACCUUGUUCAAUCUCGUUACCGGCAAGUCUCUUUACUCGUUCCGUAACACAUCAUCCCGUGAUCAACCCCUUGGUCACAUUGUGCACAUUAUGAUGAUGUCCUACCGAGUGGGCCCAGAGAUACCUCUCCGUUUACACGGAGUGACAAAAUCCCAAUCUCGAUUCGUGCCAACCCAACAGACACUUUCAGAGAUACCCGUAGUGUACCUUUAUAGCCACCCAGUUACGUUGUGACGUUUGGCACACCCAAAGCACUCCUACGGUAUCCGGGAGUUGCACAAUCUCAUGGUCUAAGGAAAUGAUACUUGACAUUAGAAAAGCUUUAGCAUACGAACUACAUGAUCUUGUGCUAGGCUUAGGAUUGGGUCUUGUCCAUCACAUCAUUCUCCUAAUGAUGUGAUCCCGUUAUCAACGACAUCCAAUGUCCAUGGUCAGGAAACCGUAACCAUCUAUUGAUUAACGAGCUAGUCAACUAGAGGCUUACUAGGGACAUGGUGUUGUCUAUGUAUCCACACAUGUAUCUGAGUUUCCUAUCAAUACAAUUCUAGCAUGGAUAAUAAACGAUUAUCAUGAACAAGGAAAUAUAAUAAUAAUCAAUUUAUUAUUGCCUCUAGGGCAUAUUUCCAACAGUCUCCCACUUGCACUAGAGUCAAUAAUCUAGUUCACAUCACCAUGUGAUUAACACUGACAGGUCACAUCACCAUGUGACCAACAUCCAAAGAGUCUUGGGUUUGAUCAUGUUGCUUGUGAGAGAGGUUUUUAGUCAACGGGUCUGAACCUUUCAGAUCCGCGUGUGCUUUACAAAUCUCUAUGUCAUCUCCUAGAUGUAGCUACCAUGUUCUAUUUGGAGCUAUUCCAAAUAACUGUUCUACUUGGAGCUAUUCUAAAUUGUUGCUCCAUUAUACGUAUCCGGUAUCUCUACUCAGAGCUAUCCGGAUAGGUGUUAAGCUUGCAUCGACGUAACCCUUUACGACGAACUCUUUUACCACCUCCAUAAUUGAAAAAAUUCCUUAGUCCACUAGUUACUAAGGAUAACUUUGACCGCUGUCCUGUGAUCCAUUCUUGGAUCACUCUUGUACCCCUUGACUGACUCAUGGUAAAGCACACUUCAGGUGCGGUACACAGCAUAGCAUUCUGUAGAGCCUAUGUCUUAAGCAUAGGGGACGACCUUCGUUCCUUUCUCUCUAUUCUGCCAUGGUCGAGCUUUAAGUCUUAACUUCAUACCUUACAACUCAGGCAAGAACUCCUUCUUUGACUGAUCCAUCUUGAACACCUUCAAGAUCAUGUCAAGGCAUGUGCUCAUUUGAAAGUACUAUUAAGCGUUUUGAUCUAUCCUUAUAGAUCUUGAUGCUCAAUGUUCAAGUAGCUUAAUCCAGGUUUUCCAUUGAAAACACUUUCCAAAUAACCCUAUAUGCUUUCCAGAAAUUCUACGUCAUUUCUGAUCAUUAAUAUGUCAACAACAUAUACUCAUCAGAAAUUCUAUAGUGCUCCCACUCACUUCUUUGGAAAUACAAGUUUCUCAUGAACUUUGUAUACACCCAAAAUCUUUGAUCAUCUCAUCAAAGCAUACAUUCCAACUCCGAGAUGCUUACUCCAGUCCUUAGAAGGAUAGCUGGAGCUUUGCAUACUUAUUAGCAUCUUUCAGGAUUGACAAAACCUUCUGGUUGUAUCACAUACAACCUUUCCUUAAGAAAAUUGUCGAGGAAACAAUGUUUUGACAUCCUAUCUGCAAGAUUUCAUAAAUAAUGCAGUAAUCGCUAAUAUAAUUCCAACAGACUCUUAGCAUCGCUACGAGUGAGAAAGUCUCAUCGUAGUCAACUCCUUGAACUUGUCGAAAAACAUCUUAAUGACAAGUCGAGCUUUCUCAAUGGUGACACUUACCAUCAUUGUCUGUCUUCCUUUCAAAAUCCAUCUGCACUCAACAGCCUUACGACCAUCGAGUUGUUCUUCCAAAGUCUACACUUUGUUUUCAUACAUGGAUCCUAUCUUGGAUUUUAUGGCUUCUAACCAUUUUUCGGAAUUUGGGCCCACCAUCACUUCUCCAUGGCUCGUAGGUUCAUUGUUGUCUAGCAACAUGACCUUCAAGACAGGAUUACUGUACCACUCUGAAGUAGUACGUAUCCUUGUCACCCUACGAGGUUCGGUAGUGACUUGAUCCGAAACUUCAUGAUCACUAUCAUAAGCUUCCACUUCAAUUGGUGUAGGUGCCACAGGAACAACUUCCUGUGCCCUGCUACACACUUGUUGAAGUGACGGUUCAAUAACCUCAUCAAGUCUCCACCAUCCUCCCACUCAAUUCUUUCGAGAGAAACUUUUCCUCGAGAAAGGACCCGAUUCUAGAAACAAUCCCUUAUUGCUUUCGAAUCUGAGACAGGAGGUAUACCCAACUGUUUUGGGUGUCCUAUGAAGAUGCAUUUAUCCGCUUUGGGUUCGAGCUUAUCAGCCUGAAACCUUUCCACAUAAGCAUCGCAGCCCCAAACUUCUAAGAAAUGACAGCUUAGGUUUCUCUAAACCAUAGUUCAUACGGUGUCAUCUCAUCGGAAUUACGUGGUGCCCUAUUUAAAGUGAAUGUGGUUGUCUCUAAUGCCUAACCCAUAAACUAUCGUGGUAAUUCGAUAAGAGACAUCAUGGUAUGCAUCAUAUCCAAUAGGGUGCAAUUAUGAUGUUCGGAUACACCAUCACACUAUGGUGUUCCAGGCUGUAUUAGUUGUGAAACUAUUUCCACAAUGUCUUAAUUCUGUGCCAAACUCGUAAUUCAGAUAUUCAUCUCUAUGAUCAUAUCAUAGAUAUUUUAUCCUCUUGUCACGACGAUCUUUCAACUUCACCCUGAAAUUACUUGAACCUUUCAAUAAUUCAGACUCAUGAUUCAUCAAGCAAAUGUACUCAACAUCCACUCAAAUUAUCUGUGAAGUAAGAACAUAACAAUAUCGACUACAUGCAUUGGACUGUACACAUCAAAAUGUAUUACUUCCAACAAGUUGCUAUCUUGUUCCAUCUUACUGAAAACGAGGCUUUUCAGUCAUCUUGCCGGUGUGGUAUGAUUUGCAUGUCCCAAGUGAUUCAAAAUCAAGUGAGUCAAAACGGUCCAUUUGCAUGGAGUUUCUUCAUGCAUAUACACCAAUAGACAUGGUUCGCAUGUCUCAAACUUUUCAAAACGAGUGAGCCCAAAGAUCCAUCAAUAUGGAGCUUCUUCAUGCGUUUUAUACCGAUAUGACUUACGUGGCAGUGCCACAAGUAGGUGGUGCUAUCAUUACUAUCUUUUGGCAUGAACAUGUGUAUCACUACGAUCAAGAUUUAAUAAACCAUACAUUUUAGGUGUAAGGCCAUUGAAGGUAUUAUUCAAAUAAAUAGAGUAACCAUUAUUCUCCUUAAAUGAAUAACCGUAUUGCGAUAGACGUAAUCCAAUCAUGUCUAUGCUCAACGCAAACACCAAAUAACAAUUAUUUAGGUUUAACACCAAUCUCUUUGGUAGAGGGAGCGUGCGAUGCUUGAUCAUAUCAAGCUUGGAAAAACUUCCAACACAUAUCGUCAGCUCACCUUUAGCUAGUCUCCGCUUAUUCCGUAGCCUUUUGUUUCGAGUUACUAACACUUAGCAACCGAACCGGUAUCUAAUACCCUGGUGCUACUAGGAGUACUAGCAAAGUACACAUUAACACAAUGUAUAUCCAAUAUACUUCUAUCGACCUUGCCAGCCUUCUUAUCUACCAAGUAUCUAGGGUAAUUCUGCUCUAGUGGUUGUUCCCCUUAUUACAGAAGCACUUAGUCUCGGGUUUGGGUUUUACCUUGGGUUUCUUCACUAGAUCAGCAGCUGAUUUGCCGUUUCAUGAAGUAUCCCUUCUUGCCCUUGCCCUUCUUGAAACUAGUGGUUUCACCAACCAUCAACAAUUGAUGCUCCUUCUUGAUUUCUACUUUCACAGUGUCAAACAUCGCGAAUACCUCAAGGAUCAUCAUAUCUAUCCCUGAUAUGUUAUAGUUCAUUACGAAGCUCUAGCAGCUUGGUGGUAAUGACUUCGGAGAAACAUCACUAUCUCAUCUGGAAGAUCAACUCCCACUCGAUUCAAGCGAUUGUUGUACUCAGACAAUCUGAGCACAAGCUCAACAAUUGAGCUUUUCUCCUUAGUUUGCAGGUUAAGAAAGUCAUCGGAGGUCUUGUACCUCUUGACAUGGGCACGAGCCUGAAAUCCCAAUUUCAGCCCUCAAAACAUCUCAUAUGUUUCGCGACGUUUCAAAAAUGUCUUUGGUGCCUCAACUCUAAACCAUUUAACUGAACUAUCACGUAGUUAUCAAAACGUGUAUGUCAGAUGUUCGCAACAACCACAGACAACGUUCGAGAUUCAGCACACUGAGCGGUGCAUUAAGGACAUAAGCCUUCUAUGAAGCAAUGAGGACAAUCCUCAGUUUAUGAACCUAGUCCGCAUAAUUGCUACUAUCAACUUUCAACUAAUUUUUCUCUAGGAACAUAUCUAAACAGUAGAACUAUAGCGUGAGCUACGACAUAAUUUGCAAAAACCUUUUGACUAUGUUCAGGAUAAUUAAGUUCAUCUUAUGAACUCCCACUCAGAUAGACAUCCCUCUAGUCAUCUAAGUGAUUACAUGAUCCGAGUCAAACUAGGCCGUGUCUGAUCAUCACGUGAGAUGGACUAGUCAUCAUCGGUGAACAUCUUCAUGUUGAUCGUAUCUUCUAUACGACUCAUGUUUGACCUUUCGGUCUCCGUGUUUCGAGGCCAUGUCUGUACAUGCUAGGCUCGUCAAGUUAACCCUAAGUGUUUCGCGUGUGUAAAUCUGUCUUACACCCGUUGUAUGUGAACGUUAGAAUCUAACACCCGAUCAUCACGUGGUGCUUCGAAACACGAACUGUCGCAACGGUGCACAGUUAGGGGAGAACACUUCUUGAAAUUGUUGUAAGGGAUCAUCUUAUUUACUACCGUCGUUCUAAGCAAAUAAGAUGUAUAAACAUGAUAAACAUCACAUGCAAUCAAAUAGUGACAUGAUAUGGCCAUCAUCACUUUGCUCCUUUUGAUCUCCAUCUUCGGGGCUCCAUGAUCAUCAUCGUCACCGGCAUGACACCAUGAUCUCCAUCAUCAUGAUCUCCAUCAUCGUGUCUUCAUGAAGUUGCCUCGCCAACUAUUACUUCUAUUACUAUGGCUAACGGUUAGCAAUAAAGUAAAGUAAUUACAUGACGUUUAAGUUGACACGCAGGUCACAAAUAAAUAAAGACAACUCCUAUGGCUCCUGCCGGUUGUCAUACUCAUCGACAUGCAAGUCGUGAUUCCUAUUACAAGAACAUGAUCAAUCUCAUACAUCACAUAUAUCAUUCAUCACAUCCUUUUUGGCCAUAUCACAUCACAUAGCAUACCCUGCAAAAACAAGUUAGACGUCCUCUAAUUGUUGUUUGCAUGUUUUACGUGGCUGCUAUGGGUUUCUAGCAAGAACGUUUCUUACCUACGCAUGAACCACAACGUGAUAUGCCAAUUGCUAUUUACCCUUCAUAAGGACCCUUUUCAUCGAAUCCGAUCCGACUAAAGUGGGAGAGACAGACACCCGCCAGCCACCUAAUGCAACUAAUGCAUGUUUGUCGGUGGAACCGGUCUCACGUAACCGUACGUGUAAGGUUAGUCCGGGCCGCUUCAUCCCACGAUGCCGCCGAAUCAAGAUAAGACUAGUAACGGCAAGCAUAUUGAACAAUAUCGACGCCCACAACUACUUUGUGUUCUACUCGUGCAAAGAAUCUACGCAAUAGACCUAGCUCAUGAUGCCACUGUUGGGGAACGUAGCAGAAAUUCAAAAUUUUCCUACGUGUCACCAAGAUCUAUCUAUGGAGAAACCAGCAACGAGGGGAAGGAGAGUGCAUCUACAUACCCUUGUAGAUCGCUAAGCGGAAGCGUUCAAGUGAACAGGGUUGAUGGAGUCGUACUCGUCGUGAUUCAGAUCACCGAUGAUCCUAGUGCCGAACGGACGGCACCUCCGCGUUCAACACACGUACAGCUCGACGAUGUCUCCCACGCCUUGAUCCAGCAAGGAGAGAGGGAGAGGUUGAGGAAGACUCCAUCCAGCAGCAGCACAACGGCAUGGUGGUGAUGGAGGAGCGUGGCAAUCCUGCAGGGCUUCGCCAAGCACCUACGGGAGAGGAGGAGGUGUCACGGGAGGGAGGGAGGCGCCAAGGGCUUAGGUAUGGAUGCCCUCCCUCCCCUCCACUAUAUAUAGGGGCAGGGGAGAGGGGGGAGGCGCAGCCUUGCCCCUUCCUCCAAGGAAGGGGUGCGGCUAAGAGGGGGGGAGGAGUCCAUCCUCCCCAAGGCACCUCGGAGGUGCCUUCCCCCUUUAGGACUCUCCCCUUUUUCCUAUAUCUUGGCGCAUGGGCCUCUAGGGGCUGGUGCCCUUGGCCCAUGUAGGCCAAGGCGCACCCCCUACAGCCCAUGUGGCCCCCCGGGGCAGGUGGCCCCACCCGGUGGGCCCCCGGGACCCUUCCGGUGGUCCCGGUACAAUACCGAUGACCCCGAAACUUGUCCCGAUGGUCGAAACAGGACUUCCUAUAUAUAAAUCUUUACCUCCGGACCAUUCCGGAACUCCUCGUGACGUCCGGGAUCUCAUCCGGGACUCUGAACAACAUUCGGUAACCACAUACAAACUUCCUUUAUAACCCUAGCGUGAUCGAACCUUAAGUGUGUAGACCCUACGGGUUCGGGAGACAUGCAGACAUGACCGAGACGUUCUCUGGUCAAUAACCAACAGCGGGAUGUGGAUACCCAUGUUGGCUCCCACAUGUUCCACGAUGAUCUCAUCGGAUGAACCACGAUGUCAAGGACUCAAUCAAUCCCGUAUACAAUUCCCUUUGUCUAGCGGUAUGGUACUUGCCCGAGAUUCGAUCGUCGGUAUACCGAUACCUUGUUCAAUCUCGUUACCGGCAAGUCUCUUUACUCGUUCCGUAACACAUCAUCCCGUGAUCAACCCCUUGGUCACAUUGUGCACAUUAUGAUGAUGUCCUACCGAGUGGGCCCAGAGAUACCUCUCCGUUUACACGGAGUGACAAAAUCCCAAUCUCGAUUCGUGCCAACCCAACAGACACUUUCAGAGAUACCCGUAGUGUACCUUUAUAGCCACCCAGUUAUGUUGUGACGUUUGGCACACCCAAAGCACUCCUACGGUAUCCGGGAGUUGCACAAUCUCAUGGUCUAAGGAAAUGAUACUUGACAUUAGAAAAGCUUUAGCAUACGAACUACAUGAUCUUGUGCUAGGCUUAGGAUUGGGUCUUGUCCAUCGCAUCAUUCUCCUAAUGAUGUGAUCCCGUUAUCAACGACAUCCAAUGUCCAUGGUCAGGAAACCAUAACCAUCUAUUGAUUAACGAGCUAGUCAACUAGAGGCUUACUAGGGACAUGGUGUUGUCUAUGUAUCCACACAUGUAUCUGAGUUUCCUAUCAAUACAAUUCUAGCAUGGAUAAUAAACAAUUAUCAUGAACAAGGAAAUAUAAUAAUAAUCAAUUUAUUAUUGCCUCUAGGGCAUAUUUCCAACACUACCUGGGGUUGCAUCUGGGGUUCUCCGAUAAAUACUAGGGCUCGGCAUGGCAAGAAAUGGUUGUGAGAGUGGUGCACGAGGUGAGGGUUGCUGGGUAAGGUCACAAGGUGGCCUUUCUUAUAUAGCAUCUGGGUUGGUUUAUUUACCGUGGUGAAAGGUAAUAAAUAUGCCAGAUCACCUCCAAAGGUCGGGGUCAGUGUCAGAGAUACACAUAUCUCAUAAAGAGACGUGUUAUUGUGGGUGUCAUCGGGGUUGGUUUUGGUAGCUGUGCCCGGAAAAUGUGCAACCAUGCGCUGACAAAACACGCAAGGCUACUAUUAAAACAGAGGCACAACGACAGGCUGCGUUAAUUUACAAGGUCGCACGAUUACAAGCGAGGAUACACUGAGACUGGAUACUACUAGUAUGGCUUAGUCUACCUCGUUUAUGUCUAAACGGGCGUGCCUGGUGGAUGUCGAGGCUUCUCCACGUGUCUCACUAUCGGGAUUAGUCAGAGAUGGUGGAGGAACUGCAGGGUUGGGGUAGCGAUGAUGACCAUCGCGGGGAUUGUUGGCCACAAUUCCGUUGGAGUGUGCUCCCAAAAGGUGAUGAAGCACUUCUGGGGUCAUCAAAGUACCUUGGCCGCUGGCUGGAGCUGACCUCAGGGCCUCGAUCGGGUGUCCGAACAGCACGACUGGGUUGUCGGUGUCAGGCUCGGCUUCCCUGCUUGUCGGGGCUCUGCGAACCAGCUCUCCUCGAGCUGCGAUCAGAUCAAUGGUAAUCUGGUCGGACAGUGCCUCUAAGUGCACUUGAUACAGAAUUUCCAAGCAAGAUACAAAAUAUGUAGUACAAGACCAUUCUGGCGUGUGAGUACAACAAAUGGUUUCUAAUGGUUGAUGGCGGAAGCGAUUUGUGGAUCAUCAGUGUCUAUGGGACUCCAAUUCCCACAGGAAUAGCUGACCAGGUUAACUCCUAUCUUCGCGAGGCUGCUAUCACCUUUGCUUAGGUUCUGGGACUGUCUCCACGGUCGCUCCUCUCCGCGCAAGAAAAUCUGGCCAAGACAAUAGCCAGGGACAAGCCAGUGAGUACUUUGAAUGUACUCGCAAACAUUUGUGAACACAGGUAUAAUAUAACAAUGAUGUGCUGAAAAUAUUUUAUGCUCAUGACGUCAGUCACAAAAGAUAAAUAAAACUCUGAUGCAUGCAAGCAUGUUAUUUAUGAAUAUGCAAUAACAUAUUAGUAUUAAAAUUAUGAAAAUAAAUAACAAGUAUGCCAUAGUCGGGCGUCUUAGCGACACCACAUAAAGGGCUUUAGAAGAAAUGCCACAGUCGGGCGUCUUAGCGACACCACAUAAAGGGCUUUAAAAGAAAUGCCACAGUCGGGCGUCUUAGCGACACCACAUAAAGGGCUUUAAAAGAAAUGCCACAGUCGGGUGUCUUAGCGACACCGCAUAAAGGGCUUUAAAAGAAAUGCCACAGUCGGGCGUCUUAGCNNNNNNNNNNNNNNNNNNNNNNNNNNNNNNNNNNNNNNNNNNNNNNNNNNNNNNNNNNNNNNNNNNNNNNNNNNNNNNNNNNNNNNNNNNNNNNNNNNNNNNNNNNNNNNNNNNNNNNNNNNNNNNNNNNNNNNNNNNNNNNNNNNNNNNNNNNNNNNNNNNNNNNNNNNNNNNNNNNNNNNNNNNNNNNNNNNNNNNNNNNNNNNNNNNNNNNNNNNNNNNNNNNNNNNNNNNNNNNNNNNNNNNNNNNNNNNNNNNNNNNNNNNNNNNNNNNNNNNNNNNNNNNNNNNNNNNNNNNNNNNNNNNNNNNAAAAGAAAUGCCAUAGUCGGGCAUCUUAGCGACACCACAUAAAGGGCUUUAAAAGAAAUGCCACGGUCGGGCGUCUUAGCGACACCGCAUAAAGGGCUUUAAAAGAAAUGCCACCGUCGGGCGUCUUAGCGACACCACAUAAAUGGCUUUAAAAGAAAUGCCACAGUCGGGUGUCUUAGCGACAACACAUAAAGGGCUUUAAAAGAAACAACCAUAGUGAAUAUAUCGGAGGUAGAACCAUCCUAGGGAUAUUCGAUAAUACCAAUAAUAUCACAGGUUAGUCCAGAACAAAAUUAAUAUUCAUAAUUAUCACAAGUCACAAGUUGUGAUUCCAGUUUUGGUUUAACAGUUUCACCUCCGAAGACCGACAUUAGACCGACACUUGACCCAUCCCAGACUAUAAUCCUUAACCAUGGACACGGCUAUUCGAAUAGGUUUAAUCUCUGCAGAGGGUGUACUCUUUACCCACGAGUGACGGGUUCCUUUAGUCCAUCGGGACUAAUUCUGUCUACGGUCUUUUUGUUGGAAACACACCUAACUUGCACACACCAGCUUAACUCACAUGUGUCUGGAAUCACCCACGACACCUGUCAAGCAAAACUUUAAGUGGGGAGGCUACAACCUCGACGUAACAUGGGAUCACAAAAAUUUUACCGCGCGCAAACUGGGGAGCUACCCCCUUCGGCUACAACCGAAACACCAAUGCUCCUGGACCCGGUGGCAUGACUACCGGAUGCCUCCAGUAUCUUCCACCAUGGCCUCUCUGUACGGUGUGUGCUAGGACAGUUGUUGACAACUUACUGAACCGUACCCUACUUGUUGUAGAGACGAGUGGUAGUACGAAGCAAGUAUGGGGGUUACUGGCACAAGACUCGAUCUACUGUCGACUCAGGAGGUUCAAAUAUUUCCUGCAAGAUUAGCAUAACAAUACAUAUACUUCAACCAACAGAUAGAAACAUCACGCGACAUACCCCCUCAUGCCAUACCGGACACGACCGUCUCGACGGAGGACUAGGGACAAGACCGUGUCUACCCAAGACAGAGGCCUUCCCGGCUUCCCUUCCGGUAUGCAUGAAAGGCAUAUGACGGUGAUUUCCAUCACAACCAUAUCAACUCCAUCAGCAUAAAAAUCAUUAAUAUGCACUCAUGAGUAGGAUCACAUCCUCACAUAAAAUGACGUAUGCUCGAGUCGGUGUGGCGUUGUCACCGAGUCAAACAACACAUACAAAAAUUACACCAGGGUUCAGAAUGCUUGCCUUCAGGUCAUGAGAAAGCAGGGUGCAUUCCAAAACAUCUUGAAAUCUUCAAAAUCCUAUUUUAUAAAUAUAUAUAUAUGAAUUAACACACAAAAUCAAAACAGCAGAAAAAGUUGUUUUGAAAUUUUUUCAAAUAAAUCUUAAAAUAAACUAGACAAUAUUUGAGAGAGGUAGGAAAAAGAAUUAUUUUAUUUGGAGUUGUAUUUAAUAAGAUACAACCGGUCAAAGUUUGGUCAAAAUCUGUUAUUUAAAUUAAAACAGAAAAGAAAACGUUUCGAAUAUUUACGUACACAUCGAAGGCGUAUUUUGGAAAUGCGCUUCCACUUAACCCACGUGGACUGGGGCGGGGUCACUGAUAGUGGGUCCAGGGGGCCCACUGGUCAGGUUUGACCAGUCCAUCCCUCCUUCCUCUUCCUUCGCCCGAACGGAGGCGAGGCGACGGUGAUCGACGCUUGCGAAUGGCUGCUCCCCGUGGGCUCCAGAGAGUCGAGAUGGAUCCGCAAGACUGAGGCGGUCCUCCCGGUGGUCGUUGGGUCGGCGGGGGUGGAGGGAGUCGCCGACGGUGAGCUUCGCGGCGGAGGAGGCCUCGGGAGCAAAGUGCUUUUGUGGCUGUGGGGGUUCCCGAUCAAAAUCGUGUAGGGGAAAGGGUUCACGGGAGGAAGAGAAGGUUCCUGGUGGAGAGAGUGGAGAGGGGGAGGUCCUAGUGGUGCCGGAAUGGCCGGGGCGGUGGCGGCGGCAGGAGUUGCCGGAGACGGGGAAGAAAACCUCCCCGGGUCGAUUGCGAGCUAGGGAAGCGCCAUUGAGGUGGCCUCUGUGCGGGAACGGGCUCGGGGCUCCCUUAAAUAGGCGAGUCGAGGCGGUUCAGCGGCGGCCACGGAUGAGCUCGUCGGCGACCGACGUUCUGUAGCUGCAGGGCAUCGUGGCGAGGCUGGGGAUGGCGGUAGGAGCUAGCGGACGAGCGGCUACUGCUCCAAGGCCGAGCUGGCGAGCGGAGGUGGCUUGGGCGGCGCUGGCCAGCGCAGGAGCUAUCGGAUGGCAGUGGCGGCUAGCUGCUGGCCUGCCGGAGACGUGGCGAGAGCUGCGGGGCUCGUGGGGUGCAGAAGGGGACACAGCGUGCUGGCUGCGGUCGGUCACGGACCGGCGUGAGUGCGGGGCGGGACGUGGUGGCUCAGGCACACGUGCGUGCCAAACGCACGCUCUGGGCGCGCCCAGAGCAUGCCCAGGUCGUGCUCGAUGAAAUGCCAGGGUAGCCUAGAGGUCCCGGUUGAGGUUGGUAAGAAACAUGGCUAGUCUAGGGUUAGCAAGGGAAUCAAGGGACAAGGUGGAUAGGUCAGGGGCUCAAGUUCACGAUGUAAACUUGAAAUCAUGCCAAAUCUGGCUAUGCACUCAGGGUGUUUGUCAAAAUGCCAAGGGCAUCCAGGCAGUACUUGGGGUGGCCAAAUCUUCCAGAUCAAUGUCUCUAUGGAUGAAUGAGAGGGUGGUGAAGUUAGUUUGCCAAAAGGAGAAACUUUCUAGUGCAAGUUUUGCAAAACUACAAUUCUGGACAGGGAGUAAAUGGCAUCAUUACAUGGACCAAAAGUGUUCCACAGAGUGCAUGCUCCUGGACUUAGGGGUUUUGGAGGGUUGACUACAAGCAAGUGAAAGCACAAGGUCACUAGAGCAAGAAUGAAUGGGGUUGCAGUACAAAACACAAGUCUGGUCCAGAAUGAAAAAGAGGUUGGUUCACUCAAUUUUUCCAAAGAACAACACUAUGUUUUUGCAUAAUGUGGGAUGGCAUGCUACCACUGACAUCCCAUAAUUUUGGUGGAGGCUCUAGGGAAAUAUUUAGUUAGGCUAUAGUGCAAAAGUGCCCAUUGGACCAGAUUUGAAAAACAGGUGUAAAACUCAAAAUAUGCAAUGAAAUAAUCAUAUUAUUGCACAAAAGUGAUUUAGAGACAUCAUAUGACAUCUCCAACUUUUGGUUGGAAUUUUAGUUAAAUUUAUCAAAUGGUUGCAGUAAAAAAAGAGCUCGAAAACUUAAAGAAAGUCAUUUUAAUGAAUAAAGCUCAGGGUGAAAUAAUUUAAUAAAUAAUUCUACUGAUAAGAAAAUGUUAUACAGAGAGCAUAGAAGUCCAAUAUGUUUUGGAAAGCUCCACUUGGGAAAAACUCCUUAAUAUGGAAAGAAAGGUUCUGAAAUCAACAGAAAUAAAAAUUUUAAAACUUCUGGCAAAAUUUUAUUAUUUAAAACUUGGUUAAAUUUUUGGGGUGUUACAAAAGGGCAAUGUCAGCAGCCUCCGUUUUUCCCCGCUAUCCUAUUUCUUCGACGAGUACGGAUCUUUUUCCGUCCGCUUGAUAAUGAUGUGGUUGCGACCUUCGUGUCCUACUGCAUGAUUACCGAGUACGUCCUUACCUCCGAGCUAUCUCAGGUUGCCACCUGGCUAAGCUAGCACUUGGUGUAGCGCUGUUUACACCAAUUCUACCACACAUCUAUUCGUCCUCGUGCACAUCGUCAUAGCAUAUUAGACCGCAAUACCUGAGUUUCCGCGAGAUUUGUGUGCUUAGGUGUGCAUGCAUAUUAUUGUGUGAGUAGCAGUAAUAUGUGAUGACUGCUUGAUUAAUUAUAUUAGUAGAAUGCUUUUGUGCUUUUGUUUUAGUCAUUUCUGUUGUUCCUUUCUUUGGGGCUUCCGUGUUACAAAUUUUUCCCCUAUUAAAGUUGCUCGUCAGCCGACACUUGACCCUAAGAAUUAGCAAGAAAUGCAUAUAUUUGGAAAUUCAGCUAAACAAAAUGGAAUUAUUAGCAGACUACAAUGAAAAUUGGAAUAUCUCGUCUGGAUGCAAAAGAAAUCCUGGAUGGACCGUCAGUAUCAAGUUUGCAUUUAACGUGCACUCCUCACAACAGUAUGGAAUUCUCAGCCGACUGCAUUCAUAUUUGGGGAAUAUUUGAUCAUGUUACUGAGUGUCAAGUCUCCCUCAGCGUGUACUCAUCACAACAAGAUGAGCAAAUCAGCAAGAAGAUAAAUUGUGUGCAAGGUUGACAGAAUAUUAUCAAAGGUAUGGCUCAGAUACAAGUUUAAUUUUUCGUUGAGGAUGAUUUUGGAACUCGAUGUACCUGGAAGCAAACAAAAAUAUGGCAUAUACUCGGAAAGGAGAAUAGUCCUGCAAAACCCCGUUUCAUGCAAGAAAUCCAUAGCAAAAAUAUUCAGAUGGCUAUAUAUGUGGAAAUCGGCCUACAUAUCACAAUAAGAAGCUUCUGGUGGAAGCAACCCAAUCUUCCCUCGCAAAAUACCAGAGAAGUUUCCAAGGCAAGAUUCAUCUAUCUUCCUGAGUACGAUACAUGGAUGACUUCCCGUGCAAGGUACCCUGUCUUCUUCAGUAAGCAACCGCAAAAGCUUCCAGCAUAAGGUACGGAGUCUUUCCCCAGCAAAGUCUUUAAGGGGGUAAGCUUCUGAAGCACGAUACCCAGUCUUCUUCAGCAAGCUGUCCGAUGAAAUUUUCGAGCACAAGACAGCAAAUAUUCCUCAUUAAGACAUUGGUACAAGGUACUACGCUGCAAAUUGACAGCAUAUGGUAGUGAAUCCCAAGAAUCAGAUCCGCAACAUUUUGGUUAGAAUCAAGUCAGAAUACAUGUCUGUCUCGGAAUCAGGUCCUCAUAUAUAUGCAAUGAGCAUACCAUCAAGAUCUUACAAGUCACACGGAUGAGGAUCUGACAACCACGUGAGGAUGGUUAAUAGAAGAAAGCCUGUAUACACCGCAGUGUGACAAAGGAUUAUGAGGAUUGACGACAUUAAUGAGCUCCAUACAAGUACUUGUGAACUGAAAAAUGAUCCUGAUGAGCCCUUGUCCCCUUUUUCUCCAAUGACGGCACCACACCUGUGAUCUUAGCUGUUUCUAGCUAUCCGGGGUGGAUGCCGAUUUUUGUCUCCCUCUUCAACGACUGUCACGAGUCUGAGCUGCUUUUCAGCCAUCUCGUACAGCUGUUGAGUUUCUUUUUGUGACAGUAGCCCUAUAGAUGCUUUUUGGCUAUUUUAGGGAGCUGCCACCUUCUUCUUAUUGACCCAGUCUCAUGCUCUGAGCUGCUUUUCGGCCGUCCUGAGUCGUGGUUGAGUUAUUUUAGUAAUGUCCCAGAUCUGAGUUGUAAAAACCGUUCUGGUGGCUACUGAUUUAUUUGCCGACUUCUUGCAAGGGUUUCAAUUGAUCAUUUCCCCACAAUCAGUACUUGAGAGGUGUUGAACCUACCAUUUAAUGGGUUACCCUAUCAAAAGAAUGAGGGUAAACUACAAUUGCCGAAACAUUGCACCGACACUACCUAUGGUCCUAAACAGAAACAAUAUGACCCAGCUCUUUCAGCCAAGGAUCCAGACCAAGAAAACAAUAAUGAAGGAGCAAGACUAGUGAGGCAGGUAUGAAAAUUGUAUACGACCCCCAUGGUGCAGGUCCCCCGGACAAUCUAAGUUAAUAUUAAUCCACAUGGAUAUGCCUACAGCAUGAGUAAUCGGCAUGAGGAAUAACAUUCUGGAAGCCUCAGUCCUCACUUAUAUGAAUCAUCAUGGAUAGCCUGUCGUGAACAAAAAAAAUUCGUCAGAACCACGGUCAGUCAAGACUGUAGAUAUUAUCAAACAGGCCAAACCCUUUAUGCUGGCCACAACAGGAGACAAUCAAAUAUUUGGUACGGAUCCGAUACUCACGACAGUGGAACUAGUUAAGAUGAUUCAAAAACUUCUGCGAUGAGUCAGAAUCUGUCAGGAAAUGGUUAUGUUUUAACUCACUGUUUGGAACCCAAAGGACCUGCAUUUAGUGGAGAAACCCAUUGCAAUGAGUCAGAGCUUGAGUUUUCAUUACAAAAUUCUGAUCAUCAUUACAUGAAAGGUUGUUAGUGCUAGGUGGCACACCCAACGGAAAUCACUUUUGGAUUUGUGAGACGGACAUAUAUUUCAGUCGUGAUAACUAAAUCACACUCAGCUAGUCAGCAGGUCUAAAAAGAAAUUGGAGCCUAUAUAAGCAUGAACAAGCAAGUUAAGAUCUGUCAAAAGGAGGAUACAGUGAAUCAAACCACCCCAGGGCCAGUCACAUAAAGAUUUAGUGGGAACAACAAUAAAAGAAAAAGGAUACCCAACUUGGAAAUGGUUUCCUUAAGUCACAAUAUUCAUACUUGUUCCCUGAGCAACCAAAUCUCGAGGACGAGAUUUCUUUAAGGGGGUAAGGUUUGUGACAACCUGAUUUUUGGCCCUUUCUUUUUCUUUUGUUUUUCCGAGGUUUUUGACAGAGUUUUUAUUUUUCGUGGCUUUGUGGUCUAGAAACUGAAGAAGAUGCCCUCUUCUUUGCUUCCAGAGUGGCUUGUCAUUCCCAAAUAUUUCCCAAAUAUUCCUUUUCUAUUCUGCCCUAAAUGGCACUUCGUGAAGGAAGUGUCAUUUAUAUUUUUCCUAGUGGCUCCCAACCUUUUUGGGAAUGCUUAUAUGUCCAAAUAAUUGCCUCAUGCACAAGUUCAACUUUAUUUUCCUAGCCAAUCUUUCUCAGUGAAUUUUCAAAGUUUCUGUUAGACAGAAGACUUUGUGAAGGAAAUACUAGCUAGGAGUACCCAAAUGAGUUGAACUUUUGCACACUCCUUGAUGUGCUCAUAUUAACCCCUUCCACCCAUUUGCAGCCCCAUCCAAUUAUCUAUGUGAGCACAGGAGCGGUAUUUUAUUCUGGCUAUUUUUAGGUUGUGAAGAAAGUGCAUUUUAUAUUGCUUCAAAAAUACUGAUAAAUUACCAGAUCAUUAUUAUACCCAUAAAACACCUCUCCACCCAUUUUGGCAUCAUUUUAUUCAGCCAUUUGACCACCAAAAUUAUUUCAAGUUUUUGUCCAGAGGAGAUGUUUGUGAAUCAAGUACCAUUUUGGCUUUGCCAAAUGGUAUGAUACUUGGUGAGAAUCUUCAUAUGACCAAAUGACUAAGCUUUGCCCAAUAUUAGCCCAAGCUGACACUCCAUGUGAGUGCACCAUCAUGAUCUAGUUUCUGGACCAUUUUGGUCAGUUUUGAAGCAACUGGAGUAAAUAUUGAUCCAUUUACCCUCAAAACCUCCAGGAUGAAAGUCCUUUGAUAGAUAAACCUCCCAAACAAGCUAUUUACGGAGUUACCUAGCUGGUGUCCCCACUGCACAGCACAAACACUUGGUUGCUGGUUUACUUUGGACCUAAGUGCAAAUCACUUCUUUGCCCCUGGAACGAUUUGUUUCCUCAUUUAUACUUAGGUCACUAGGGUCAAUCUACUGGACAUGGUCGGCCCGGCCAGAACGCGUCGUUUGCACCAGAGCCCGUGGUGAUCAUGCUGGCGUCACGCACAGUGCAAGCUCUGGAUCGGUCCGGCCACUAUGCUCGUCUCCUCCAUCCUCGUCUCGACCUCCAUUCAUGUCCUGGAUAUCCCCCGUGAUGCCAUGCAUCUCCUGCAUCAAUGGCUAGUCGUCCUUCACCUUAAAUGCAUCGCUAGGUCCAUGCCCGUGCCAUGCCCUGCCAUUGUCCUCCAUUAGAGCCCUCCCCCGCGCCUAUAUAAGAAGUGCCCGAGCCCUCCCGCAGGUCCCAAGCCCCUCCUCGUCCCUCCUAUCCAACCGGAGCCCUCGGCCCCCUCUUCUUUUCGCCGGAGUUCGUCUCGGCCGCCUCGAUUCCUCAUCGUUUCCGGCUUUGGUGUUGUCCAUCGUCCUCCCCAUGUCUCCACGAGCCGCCCCAACCCUCUUGCCCUCCCCGGAGUGCCCUGCAUCACUGAGGCCACCACCGUCCGUGCCCUCCCUGCUGCCUCCCGUCGCUGCGGCCUCCUCUCCGUUCCACUCCUCCCCAGUGUCCCCUACUCCUCUGGAUGGGUGCGGCAUUCUUUCCCGAGCUCGCCGGUGCCCUCAUCUCUCCAGGAGACGACCAGAGUUGCCCGAUCCAUCGCUGUUUGCUGUCCUCUGUCACCUCCUCCUGCCGCCUCCCAUCGACGUUCCUGGCCUCCUUGUGCCUCCCUCUGGUCGAGGAUGGGAGCGUCGCGCCGGGCCGCGCCCACCGGUGGCUUCACCCUACCCGGGGAUGGCCGGAGCUGGCUGGCCCCCUCGCCACUCCUCCCCUGCCUCGGAUGCCCCCUGCCUCCUUUGUUCCGCUCGUUAACGAGGAUAGGAGGAAGAAGAUAGGAGCGCUUACCCCCUCCCCAGCCAGUGGGACCCGUGCGUCAGCCUCACGCGUUAACCAAGCCGGCCCCACUUUGAUCCUGCCCCGCCACGUCAGCGUAAGUGGAAACGUAGUUUCCAAAAUACGCUUUCACUUUUUAUGUCCAGGCCCCUGUUUGAAAAUCUUUUCAUUACAGAUAGGUCCCUGGCAGAAAAACAUCCACAACUUUUAAUCCGUAACUCCAAAUGAGGUGAAACCAACGCUCACUUCUUUGUUUCAUCGAGACCGUUCUGUUGGUGAUUCUUUCAUUAUGGUUUGACACUGUGAAAAUGACCAUUAUGCCCUUGCCCUUAUUCAGCCCCCUCCAAGAGAGAAUGAUUUCCGGCAAUUCUUUCCGUGAGCUUCUGACACUUUCUUCCGGUGAUUUAUUCCACCCCAGGCAAGCCACAAUACCCACUUGCAUGAUAGUCAUGCAGUAGCCAUGGUUUUCAACUUGAAUCUUUAUUAAAUGUUUGCUUGUUGAAAAGAUGGUUAUCGUUGUCCCGGUAAUGUUUAGAUUUGCAUGUUCACUUUUGUGCUAUGUUUUCUUGUACUCUGUUAUCAUGUUCUACCUGCUAGUAUUUCCUUUUAUAUGUUUAUGCUUGCUAGUAGUACAUGUUGAUGUUGGUGAUGGUCAUGCUAGUCAGUAUGCCAUGUUCAGUUGAUAUGAUUUAUUGUUGAUAUGGCGGAUAGUUAUGUGAUACCCUCAUGAUUAUGUUGAUAUCA
Molecule: long non-coding RNA, 44551 nt
Filed under: Triticum aestivum (bread wheat)
Lineage: Eukaryota; Viridiplantae; Streptophyta; Magnoliopsida; Poales; Poaceae
Description: long non-coding RNA (TAES_LNC007427)
Source: RNAcentral